Molecule: ribosomal RNA, 398 nt
Filed under: uncultured bacterium
Lineage: Bacteria
Description: bacterial SSU rRNA
Rfam family: Bacterial small subunit ribosomal RNA
Source: RNAcentral
AAUGUAUCGGAACGUACCAUUGAGUGGGGAUAACGUAGCGAAAGUUACGCUAAUACCGCAUAUACCCUGAGGGGGAAAGCAGGGGAUCGCAAGACCUUGUGCUCUUUGAGCGGCCGAUAUCAGAUUAGCUAGUUGGUGAGGUAAAGGCUCACCAAGGCGACGAUCUGUAGCGGGUCUGAGAGGAUGAUCCGCCACACUGGAACUGAGACACGGUCCAGACUCCUACGGGAGGCAGCAGUGGGGAAUUUUGGACAAUGGACGCAAGUCUGAUCCAGCCAUUCCGCGUGCAGGAUGAAGGCCCUCGGGUUGUAAACUGCUUUUGUACGGAACGAAAAGGUUUCUAUUAAUACUAGGAGCUCAUGACGGUACCGUAAGAAUAAGCACCGGCUAACUACGUG